UUUCCUGAAGGCAUCGAUAUAUACUUUGAAAAUGUUGGGGGAAAGAUGCUCGAUGCAGUCCUACUAAACAUGAGGAUGAAUGGCCGAAUCGCAAUUUGUGGGAUGAUCUCGCAGUACAACCUUGAGCAAACAGAAGGUGUGCAUAAUUUAAUAUCACUCAUCUCUAAACAGGUCCGUAUGCAAGGUUUCGUGGCUUUUAGUUACUAUCAUCUAUACGGGAAGUUUCUUGAAACAGUUCUACCUGCCAUAAAAGAAGGGAAGAUAAUAUACGUGGAAGAUGUAGUUGAAGGCCUUGAGAGCGCUCCGGGGGCUCUGGCAGGGCUCUUUGCUGGCCGCAAUGUCGGAAAGCAGGUGGUUUUAGUUUCUAGGGAUUGACUCCGUCACAGACGUCCAGUUGUCCCUAUGGAAUCUUGAUACUUGUAUAAAAGGCGUCAAAAUGACUUGAUUGAGCACUUGUGGGGUUGAAAUAAGAUCAAGAAACUUAAAACAAGCUUGUGGUAGGUGUUUUUUAUUAAGUUUAUUUGGUGGCUUUUUUUUUAAGUUUAUUUAGUGUGUUUUUUUAAGUUUAUUUGGUGUGUUUUUGUAAUUUUAUUUGGUGUGUUAUUUAUGUUGUUUUGAAUAAAGAUGAUCUUAGUUUACAUAACGAUUCUCUUCAUUUAAAUAAAAUAUACCAGAUUGAAUAUUUUUUCUGUAAUUUUUAUUAAUUUUACUGUAUUUUUUAAUAAGUUGUAUCUAACCUAAUUAAUAUGGACCGUUGGAUUACGAUGAAUGAUUAAUCCAAAAGCCUAGAUUUUGACACGUAAUCCCAACGGUAAUAAUAGGAUUUUUGCUGAUUUUUCUUUUUGGUUUAAAGUUUUUUAAGCCCCAAAAAUCUAGACCUUCUAAUAGACUAGAAUUUGCCACUUGUAAGCCGUUAUUUUCAAAUUCAAAAUUUUUGAACUGUUGGAAAUCCAAUGGCCAAAAAUAAUCGUUGGAAAUCCAACGGCCUAGACAGAGCCAUGUCCCCCAUGCGGCCCCAGAUUAGCUGAGUGUGCGGCUGUAGUGCGGGCCCCAACUCUGUAUUUUUGUCGGCUCCCUAAUUGAAAAAAUAAUAAUUUAUGUGACUGACAUCAGAUCCACCUAGUCGGUGGGCUAAGCAAUUCGAGGACAUGUGGUAUGUCGAGCACUUAGGCUCCCUUGAAGCCCACUGGAUUGGGUAGUGUUAACGCUCAAAGUUUGCAGGUCAAACCAAGACGAAUUUAGAGACAAAAUUUGCAAACUAAAUAAUGUGUUACUAAUAUGAAUAGGCACGUUUAUCAACGUUUAACUAAUGAACCAACCAUCAACUUCCAUAUCCUUAGAUUUCAAAAAUUUUAUCUACACAUUUAGUCUCCUUUAACAUUAUUUGGGAUGGACAUGCUGUAACUAGAGCACAUCGAGUCGGCCAAGCGGACAUGGACACACAGGUCACGCAUACACACGUCGACAUACAUGAAUCAAUCGGCCAAGCCGUUCACAUCGCUAAUUGCUCACAUCGCAUUUACACAUUCGGCGAUCGGCCUUGUUUGUAAGAAGCGAAGCAAAUUCAGUAGAAAAAGAAUAAAAAAUGGAAGUGACGAGCAACAAGCAUGUGAUACUCAGAGACUAUGUCACCGGCUUCCCCAAAGAAUCCGAUAUGCAAUUAGUCACCGCCGCAGCCACCAAGCUGAAGCUUCCAGAAGGUUCCACUGGGGUUCUGGUGAAGAACCUCUACUUGUCCUGCAACCCUUAUAUGAGAGGCCGCAUGACCAAGCGCGAACCCGGCGGCAGUUAUGUCCCCUCUUUCGUGCACAGUUCGGUCAGUUCAUCCUCCAUCUCUAAUCUCCCUAACUUGUUUUUAUUUUUAGAAAUUUUAGCAUUAAUUUCUGUAUAUUUACAAAUGGGGCUGAAGGAUUGAGAAUUUUUCUCUUUUGGGUCCUCCUUACAAUUUCCCCUUGGUGUCUGAACAUCUCUGCUUUACAAUAUACUUAGAUUAAUUCAAGCUAGCAUUUUUGUGAUGAACGUAAUGUCAUUUUUCUUGGCCAAACAAAAAAGCUUGCAUUUUUUGUGCCUAUUUAGUAUCGUAGAAUUAUAUUUUGUUACUAAUAAUUAUCGCAUCGAAGAUAUUGAAAUGCUGUGGACUGGCAGCCUAUAACCGGAUACGGAGUGGCUAAAGUUUUGGAAUCGGGGGAUCCCAUGUUCAAGGAAGGCGAUUUCGUUUGGGGGAUGACCGCGUGGGAAGAAUAUAGUCUCAUCGCUGCCACAAAGGCCCUGUUUAAGAUUCACGACACCGAUGUCCCACUCUCUUACUAUACUGGAAUUCUAGGCAUAUUUCUAGUGCUAUUUUCACCAAAUUUUGAAGUUGAUGUCUUGGGAAAAUUGCUUAUGUAGCACAUAGCUAGUUAUCUGAAAUUUAUAUAAGGAGAAAUUAGGUUCUCAUCCUUCCUUUUGCUACUACAUUAAUUAAAAUCCUAUUCCUUUUCAAUUUUUGAUCAAGGUCUUUGGGUAUUAAUAACAUCAUUAAUUAUUUCAAUAAUAAAAUAGUUUUUAAUUUCUAAAUAUAUUCAUUUAAUGUUAAAAAUGUUACAAUUUGUAUAUUUAUAUUUAUGACUAAAUUUUUUAUCAUAUAUUUUUAGUUUUAAUUUGUACCCAUUUUUAAUUUGUAAUUCUUUUUUAACUUGUACCAUUUUUCUUUUUAGUUUUAAUUUGUACCCAUAUAUUAAUUUCUUUUUUGUGUCCAUAUUUUUUAAAGUUUAUUUGUAUUUGUACCCAUAUAUUUUUUUAUUUGUACUUUUUAUUUUGCUAAAUGUACCCAUGCUAAUUAUAUGUACCCAUUCAUGUAAAACUUUUUAAUCUUAAAAUGUAUUCAUUCUUAAAUAUACCAAUUUGUUAUAUGUAAAAUGUACCAUUUUUUAUAUAUAUAAAAUGUGACAUCCCAUAUCGCCCAGGGGAGUGAUCCUUAAAUGUAUAUUCUCAUCCCUAUCUAGCACGAGGCCUUUUGGGAGCUCACUGGCUUCGGGUUCCGUAGGAACUCCGAAGUUAAGCAAAAAGGAGGUCAGGGCACUUCCAGGAUGGGUGACCCACUGGGAAGUUGCUCGUGAGUUCCUAAAAACAAAACUGUGAGGGAAUGGUAAAGCCCAAAGCGGACAAUAUCGUGCUACGGUGAUAGAGAUGGCCCGGGAAGUGGUCCGCCCCAGGCCGGGAUGUGACAAAUGGUAUCAGAGCCAAUCCUUGGCCGGAAGUGUGCCGACGAGGAUGUCGGGCCCCUAAGGGGAUGGAUUGUGACAUCCCACAUCGCCUAGGGAAGUGAUCCUUAAAUGUAUAUUCUCAUCCCUAUCUAGCACGAGGCAUUUUGGGAGCUCACUGGCUUCGGGUUCCGUAGGAACUCCGAAGUUAAGCGAGAAGGAGGCCAGAGCACUUCUAGGAUGGGUGAUCCACUUGGAAGUUGCUCGUGAGUUCCCAAAAACAAAAUCGUGAGGGAAUGGUAAGCCCAAAGCUGACAAUAUCGUGCUACAGUGGUGGAGAUGGCCCGGGAAGUGGUCCACCCCGGGCCGGGAUGUGACAUAAAAUCUAUUCAAUUCUUUUCUAAUCCAUUUUUAAACUUAUAUGGGUACAUUCUUUUUUCUUUGAUUUUAAAAUGUAUCCAUGUCAAGUUUAAUCGAAGAAAUUUACUAAUGUUAUUAAGCUUAAUUUUUUUUUGUUUGUGAUUUUGAAGAAUGUACCCAUGUUUUGAUACAAUAAAUUUUUUGGUUAAUUUUGAUGAAUGUACCCAUGUCACAACCCGUCCCGAAAUACUUUUAUCGAAGGUGUGAAAAGACUAGAAUGCCCUUGGGCGUUGAGAUGUGUUGUGUGUGACAUGGUUUUAGAAGUGGACCAAUAUAAUUAUUUUCCUAAGUUUUUGGGGCCAAUGAGAACUUAACCUUGGUUAGUUAAGUUUUUGGGGCCAAUGAGAACUUAACCUUGGUUAGUUGUGAUUGGUGUGCAGAUUGGACUACACACACAUAUCCACAUCAUUUUCUCUCUCUCUCUCUCUCCCGUACUCCCUCUCUCUCGCAGACUCUCACUCUCUCUCCCUUCUUUGUACGGACCAACCCAGAAACCCUCUCAAACCUUGUAGAUCGAAGGUUUUAAGAUCAUUAUUGUGCUCGUGAGGACCAUACGAGUUUAAAGGUACCAUUUUCAGGUAAGGAAACCCUCGAAAACCCGUGAAAGUCCUAGCUCCGAUUUGAGGUACUAUUCAUGUGGACGUAAAAUCUUAUGUUUCAGGGAAUUUUAAGGACACAUGGAGCUUUAGGAGGUCCUCACGAGGCUCAGAGUAGUUCGUUGGAAGAAAUUGGACGUCGGGAUAGUUAGUGCUCCGCCCGUGGCCAGGGCCAGCCUUCACGUGAUCGUUCACCUCCCGCACUACACUCUCACCUUGAAUCCAAGGUAGGUGCCAGCCUAUCGUACAGACCACAAUAGAUGGUUCCCGACUCGUAGGUGACCCGCGAUUUAUCGCACAGCCUUCACGUGAUUGUAGCACUUGAGCAUACAUGUUUAUUUACACCUAGCUUGUCGUACAGACCACGAGAGGUGGUUCCUGACUCGUGUGCAGGCAUAUUAGUAAUGAGAUGAUUGAGCUCUAGAUUAAGCCGUGCAGGUCACAAGAGGUGACUCCCGGCUAGAUGGGUUAUUUAUAUUGAAUUAUAGCCUCUGGCUUACAUAUGUGAUAUUGUGAUAGUAAUCAUGGCAUGAGUAUCGGACAUGGCAUAUGCAUGACAUUUAUAUUUGGAUUUUGAGAUGUUGAACAUGAAUUGAGUUAUGGAUAUUUAUAUGUUCUAUUUUAUGGGAAAAUUAUACAGGUUUUAUGGCGAGGGGUUAGAACUUUUGAGAAAGAAAUGAAUUUCAAAAACCUUGUUUUUGCCCACUCACGUUUUCUGUUUUUCGCCCCUCCAGGUUCUAGUAAGAUUGUUCGUUGGUGGCGUUGCGAAGGCUUCCAUGCAGUUCUGACAGUUUGCCUUAAUAUAUGAUCACCUGCGGGUGUUGGCUAAUUAGUACUUAUUGCUUGACUGCACUUAGGUUUUAUGCUCUAUAUAAGUGUAAUUCACUCUUAAACUCGCACUAGCACAUUAUCUUAGUUAGUGCUGCUAGUGGUUCGGUUUUUAAUUAUUCAGAAUUUCAUAUCUUUAUUGCUUCCGCACUGUGCACAUGUCUUACGUCACUCUCACGUGACGGCCAGCACGUCCUGAUUCAGGUCGAGGUGUGUCAACCCAUGUUUAUACACACACACACACACACAAUAGUAUAUUUAUAUUUUAAUAUUUUUAAUCCCACAAAUUAUGGUUUUUUUAUUUAAAAUCUCAUUUAUAUAAAUAACUAAAAUUUCUAAUUUUUAUUUUAAAAAAUACAGUAACGUACAUAGAAAUAAAUUAUCACAUUAAUUUCAGGAACCUCGAUCAAAAAUUAAAAACCAAUAAGGUUUCAAUAAAAGAAUAUUCAUAACUAAGGACCGCAUCCAAAGUCUCCCUUUAUAUAAUCCCAUAUAUAAACAGUCCCAUUUUUAAGAUAAUUUUUUCAAUAUUUCUCCAAAUAUUAUUAGCCGAACGUAUCCAUCUAUAUGAUCGAUCCAUCCACCAAGAUCAGAAAUAAAGAUAUAUUUAUGUGGCCGGCCAUCUCGACAUUUUUUAAUUAAAAUAUAAUUGUCAAAGUGGGAAAGGGUGACUAACGACUCACGAACGAGACCAGGCCAGGCCACCACCACUUCCUCUUCGUCCCCUCUUGUCUUGUGCUUCAGUUCCCAGUUCCCUCCCUCCCACUCUCAUCAAUCUAGCAAAGUAUGCAUAAUUAAUUAGUAAACAUGGCAUUAUUAUAUGUAUAGCAACUUGCAUUAAAACGAUAGUUAUUAUUUAAAAAAAUUAGUAUUCGGUCACUAGUUAAUAAUGUUCAUUAACUGAGGUAUAAUUAUUUUUCAGAUUUUGAUCGAAAUCCCAAGCUUUAAUGUUUAAUGAAUAUAGAUGUCAUUUACGUAAUUUUUUAGAAUAUAUAUUAGUAAUAAUUUAAAAUUUUAAUACUCACAGCCUUAUUAAACUCCUAAUUAAUUUUCAAUUCAAAACAUUUCCAAAAUAAAAAAGAUAAAAUGAUCUUAACUUAAUUAGAGAGACAGACCAUUAGUUCACUCCAAAACAUCAAUAUUAUCUUAACUUAAUCAUCAAUUUCUAAGUAUUAAAUUUCAGGAUAAUAUGGGACUAAAUGUCAUUAACAAUAAACUUUAUUAGAAGUCGAACCGUGGACUUACGGGACUAUAUUCUAUUUUCUUAAUAUGGGACUACAUGUUAAAGGAGAAGCUUGAAGCUUUAACAAUGGAGGAUUUCGCACUUAGAGAGAGAAAGAGAUUACAGGAGUUUUAGAGAAAAACUGAGAAAGUAAUUUUGUAUAUUUCAUUUCACUUAGAAUUGCUUACACACUAUCUCUUUAUAUACUCUUCACAUUCCUUACAAAUUAAGCAAACUCAUAACAAACUCAUCAACUUAAUCUAUUGACACUUGACUGCACAUCAACCAUUGGAUUGACCCUGUGCCUUUAUACCUUUACAUCCCUCAUCAAUCUCAUGCUUACUAGAACUAAGCAUGAGAUUGGAACAAUGAUCUUGAAACAGAGAAGUAGACAACCCUUUAGUUAAAAUGUCUGCAAACUGCUCCUUGGAAGAGACAUGUUGUACACCCAAGUCACCUUUGAUAACUCUCUCCCGGACAAAGUGGUAGUCAAUUUCAAUAUGCUUCACCCGUGAAUGAAAGACUGGGUUAGAGGAUAGGGCGAUAGCAGAAAUAUUGUCACAAAAUAACAUGGGAGCAUCAUAUAAAGGAACAUGAAGAUCACACAGAAGUUGACGUAUCCAAGAGACUUCGACUGCAGUGAUGGCAAGUGCUCGAUAUUCUGCCUCAGUAGAGGACCGAGACACAGUAUGUUGUUUCUUGGAGGCCUAAGAAAUAGGUGUAUUACCCAAAUAAACAAUAUAGCCGGAUGUGGAUCGACGAUCAUUGGGAUCCCCUGCCCAAUCUGCAUCGCUAUAGGCUUGAAGUUGUAAUUUGCCAGGAGUAAAAUGAAUGCCAUAGUCAAGAGUGCCACUGAGAUACCUCAAAAUCUGUUUCACCGCAACAACAUGAAUAUCCAGAGGGUUGUGCAUAAAUUGACAACAUUGGUUAACAGCAAAUGCAAUAUCAGGCCUAGUGAAGGUCAAAUACUGCAAUGCACCAACAAUGCUGCGAUAGUGUUCGAGACUAUGGUAAGGUGAACCAUCUGUCUUAGAUAGCCUGUGAUAAGGAAGGCAUGGUGUGGCACAUGACUUGGCAUCUUGCAUAUCAACCUUGGCGAGAAGAUCUUGAAUAUAUUUGGUCUGAGAGACAAACAAACAUGUGUUCUUGUAAGUGAUCUGCAAGCCUAAGAAGUAAUGUAAAAUGCCCAAGUCCUUCAUAUCAAACUCUUGUGUCAGAGCUAAAAUGACUUUAGACAUAAGAGAUGGAUUGCUGCCAGUAAGGAUGAUAUCAUCCACAUAGAGUAAGAGAAUCACAAUACCAUUGGAAGUUUGCUGGACAAACAAUGAAGGAUCGGCAAAAGAGGCUUUGAAGCCUAAGCUCGGUAAGAAGCUUGUAAACUUCUCAUUCCAUGCCCGAGGAGCCUGUUUAAGACCAUACAAGGACUUCUUGAGUUUACAAACAUAAUUUGAAGGAUGAGAGGAACAGACAAAACCAGGAGGUUGACUCAUAUAGACCUCUUCGAGAAGAUCUCCAUGUAAAAAAGCAUUUUGAACAUCCAACUGUCUCAAACUCCAGUUAAACUGAGCUGCAAGUGCUAAGAUUAAUCGGACAGUAGUAGGCUUAACCACGGGACUAAAAGUUUCAGUAUAAUCGAUGUCUUCCUCUUGACUAUACCCUUUAGCCACAAAACGAGCUUUAUACCGUGCUAUAGACCCAUCUGGAUUCCUCUUAAGCUUGUACACCCAUUUGCAUCCAACUAAGUUUUUGCCAAUAGGAAGAGGAACAAAAGUCCAGGUCUUCUGAGCAUUCAAAGCAUUUAUCUCAUCUUGCAUGGCAGCAUGCCAUUCUGAGACUUGACUAGCUGACUUGAAAGAAACCGGUUCCAUAACAGGCACAAGUAAGGAUGAAACAAAAGCUAAGAAAGUUUUUUUCUUAGAAAUCCCACUUUUGGAUCUUGUUUGCAUGGGGUGUAAGCUCACAGAGGGUACAGGCAGAACCACACUUAGACGUUCUUGUUGGAAAUCAGGAUCCAUAAGGAUUGGAGACUGUGUAGGUGCAAGAUGAGCUAACAGGGAUGAUGGUGUCUCUUGUGGAGAAAUAACAGGUAUAGGGGCAGGUAUAGGGUUGGUGGAAGAAGCCAAACACUUUGGAGCUAUAGUUGGAGAUGCCAAAGACUCUGAAGCACUAGGGGUUAUAGAAGAAAACUCUGAAGCUCUAGGGGUUAAAUGCACUGAUGUAGAUGAUGGUGGAAAUGAUGAUAAUGUGUGUGAUUCAAUAACAUUGUGAAGUGUAACUGAUGGUGGUACAAUUAAAGAAGGCGUGCUAAGUGAUGGUGUAACCUGAGACUUAGAAAUAAGAUCCAAAUAAGGAUAAGUAUGCUCAUAAAAAAGAACAUGUCUUGACACGUGAAAUUUGCUAGUAAUGGGAUUAAAACAAAUAUACCCUUUAUAUUGACCAGCAUAUCCCAGAAAUAUGCACUGUGCAGUCUUGGGUUGGAAUUUGGAAGUGUUGUAGGGUUUCAAGAGAGGAAAAUAACUACAUCCAAAAACCUUUAAAUGUGUUAACACUGGGGGUUUUUGAAACAGACAAGUGUAUGGAGACUUCAUGGUUAAAACCUGACAUGGCAUUCUGUUUAUUAAGUAGAUAGAAACUGCACAAGCAUGAAACCAAAACUGUGAAGGCAAAUGAGCUUUUUGAAGAAGAGUAAGUGCAGUUUCAACAAUAUGCCGAUGCUUGCGUUCAACAAGACCGUUUUGCUCAGGUGUGUGUGGACAAGACUUGUGAUGCAAAAUGCCUUUUGUUAACAGAAACUGUUUGAACUUGUUACUGGUGUAUUCACCAUCACCAUCGCUUUGGAAAAUUUUAAUGGCAGUGGAAAAUUGAGUUUGUACAAAAGAAUGAAACUGCAUAAAGGUAUGAAACACAUAACUUUUAUUCAUUAAAGGAAAUAUCCAGGUAAACCUGGUACAUUCAUCUAUGAAAAGUACAUAGAAUUUGAAACCCUCAAUGGACAAAGUAGGUGAUGGUUCCCACACAUCACUAUGUAUAACCUCAAAGGGUUUUACAUUUUUAUUUGCAGGGUAUGAAAAAGGAAGUUUAGUAAAUUUUCCUUGCAAACAAGAGAUACACACAUGUUUAGAAGGAUCCACAGAAAAAGGAACCUGAGAUUGAUGCAACAUGUGAGAAACAACAAAAUUAGAUGGAUAGCCUAAUCUGUUGUGCCACAAAUUUGUGUUCACUUGAUGACCAAGGUAACAAUGCUGCUGUUUGUGUGAGUGAGGUGUCUUUAAUGCUUGAUUGACAAUGGAUUAUGGUAUGUAUAAUGGAAUUAGAUAUAGGCCAGCUCUACACAGUCCAUGAAGAAGAACUUUCCCUGUGAUCUUGUCUUGAAUCCAGAAAGAGAACUCGUCACAUAUGAACCUACAUUUGUUAUCUUUACAGAGCCGAUAAAUAGACAACAAAUGUUGAGAUAAUUUUGGCACAUGCAGGAUUUUCUUUAGUUGAAAAGCAUGUUUUGGAGUAUGCAAAACAGAAGAACCAGUGUGAGAUAUGGGCAAACCUGCACCACUUGCAGUGGUUAUAGUAUCCGUGCCAAUGAAUAGAGUGGCAAGAGUAAGAUUGGACAAGUCAGACGUCAUGUGGGAUGUAGCACCCAUAUCAGCAACCCAGAAUUGCUCUUGAGGGGCAGAUGGUUGAUAGGUAGCAUGCAUUGCAGUAAUAGAGGAUGGUGGAGAUCUUCCUUGGUAUGAAAAAUUGGUUCUGUGGUAACAUUGCAUUGCAGAAUGACCAAAUUUCCAACAAAUUUAGCAUUGCACUGGAGAUGAUGAAACAGUGGUAGAAGAAUGUCUCUGGAAGUAAUCAGCAGCAAUAUGACCUCUUUUGUUUCAUAUUUGACACACAGGUAUGUCAUUGCUAUGCUCAGGGCAAGUGGAAACAUGUGGUCUCACAGGACCAAGUAUGCCAGGACUGUUAUUAGGACUGUUACCCAAGAACCUAGAAUUAUUACCAAAGUGGGUUCUGCCUCUUGCUCUUCCUCUGAGAUUUGGUCCUCUAUAACCUCCAGAAUUAUUGUGAUAGAACCACCAGAAUUGUUGUUAUAAGAUCCACAAAACCAAGAAUACCAUGAUUUUCAAGAAGCAAUCGCAUUUGAUAAUGCCAGACUAAGUAAUUCGUAUCAUCUAAUUUGACCGUCACAGAGACCGACACAUUAGGAAUCAAGUGCAUAAUUGGAGACUGAACUAUCUGAAGUUGGGCAGUAGUCACCAUACUUUUGAAAUUCUUAUAGAAACAGGAGAAAUCUUGAAGAAAUUGAGAGAUUCUUGAAGAAAUUGAGAAGGUAGGGUUUGCGAUCAAAUGCAUUGCACUUUUCAGAACAGAGAUCCAAGAUUGUAGAAGAAGAAAUUCACAGAUACCAUCAUUCACACAUAUCAUCAAACAGGUCAUGUGCAAGAAACACAACCGACUUGUAGAUUAUAAUUCACCAUAUCAGAGAGGAUCGAAGAAAGAAAAUGACAUACCACGGAUUCAGGGAAGUAGUUGAGAAGAGAAGAUUGAAGAUAGCGGAAGCAACACUUGAUCAGGAUCGAUAAACGCCAUCUGUUCCCGGCGAGGAUACCAUGUUAAAGGAGAAGCUUGAAGCUUUAACAAUGAAGGAUUUCACACUUAAGAGAAAGAGAUUACAGGAGUGUUAGAGAGAAACUGAGAAAGUAAUUUUGUAUAUUUCAUUUCACUUAGAAUUGCUUACACACUAUCUCUUUAUAUACUCUUCACAUUCCUUACAGAUUAAGCAAACUCAUAACAAACUCAUCAACUUAAUCUAUUGACACUUGGCUGCACAUCAACCAUUGGAUUGACCCUGUGCCUUUAUACCUUUACACUACAUUCAACAGCAAUUCCCAUUCCAAAUCGCUCAUACCGCUCUCCUCGGCUCCGCCCGCCUAUAUAAAGAGAGGGAGAGAGAGAGACAGCUGGUAAAAUGAGAUAAGGAAGAGAAAUAAGCAGCAAUCCAUCAAUGGCGGCGAGUACAGAGGAAGUGAUCAGCAACAAGCAGGUGCUACUGAAAGACUAUGUGACCGGCUUCCCCAAAGAAUCUGACAUGCAACUCACCGCCGCCACCACCAAGCUCAAGCUUCCAGAAGGUUCAAAAGGGGUUCUGGUGAAGAACCUCUACUUGUCCUGCGACCCUUAUAUUAGAAACCGCAUGACCAAGCGUGAACCUGGCGCCAGUUUUAUGGAUUCCUUCAAACCCGGUUCGGUCAGUCACUAUAUGUGCCCUUUCCCUUUUGUUCAAGUUUGAAAGUUCGCUUCCUUAUGAUCUAUCAUGUAAUAUUAGUAUUGAAUAAUGUGACCGAGUAGCCCAAGUACUAAUCUUGUUGGACAGAUAGCCUCGUUUUUCGGAUUACAAUUUGUUGAUGUUUGGGAUGAUUUAAUAAUUUACAGUUUGAGACAACUUAGGUAUUCGCUGUUGUACUAUCUCUUUAUUUACCGUUAGAUAUUGAAAUUUGAAAUGAUGUGGCAGCCUAUAGUCGGAUAUGGAGUUGCCAAAGUUUUGGAAUCCGGAGAUCCCAAGUUUAAGCAAGGCGACUUCAUUUGGGGAAUAACCGGGUGGGAAGAGUACAGUGUUAUCACUGCAACGGAGUCUUUGUUUAAGAUUCAGCACACUGAUGUGCCUCUCUCUUACUAUACUGGUAUUCUUGGUAUGUUGCUGUGUAUUGGCUAUUGCUAUUUCCUUUGCCUUGGGAUUUAUUUCAUUUAAAAAUUUGUUCUGCCACAAGGAUCCAGCCUAUCUCAAGUCUUGUAUCUCUAGUUGUAUUCUGCCUCCAGUGACCUCUAUCAUACUAAAAAUGUGAACUGAUUUGUUGAUUCUCACGGCUCUUUGUAAACUAUAUCUUCACAAACCAAUGCAACAUAUUCCUUUUCAUAAUAGCAUUUUGAUUUGGAAGUACGGAAAUGAUUUAGCUUACAUAAUCAAUUGGUCCUAUGCAUUUGUAGCAUUGUUCUUUGAUUGUAUGCAAUUGCUGAAGUGAUCCAUCCUUAAUAAUUCAACCAAAUAUUUAGUUUUAUGGGUUUGUAAUGCAUGAUAUAUUUACUUGAUGCUACGCUCAUCUAAUGUAUUCAUUUUAUAUAGGUAUGCCUGGAAUGACUGCUUAUGCUGGUUUUUAUGAGGUCUGCAAUCCUAAGAAGGGAGAGACGGUCUUCGUUUCAGCAGCAUCUGGGGCGGUAGGUCAGCUUGUUGGCCAAUUGCAAAGUCGUUGGGUUGCUAUGUUGUUGGAAGUGCUGGAAGCAAAGAAAAGGUCAGUUAUUGCAAAUUUAGUGGUCGAUUGCAACUAUAUCUUAGAUGGCAUUUCUGUGAUUGUGAUUCAAUCGGAUGAUUAUUCUUGGUUUAGAAACAUGUAUUAAGUGAUGUAUGCCAAAUUGGCAACAGAGAAAUUUUGACUAAUCGAAAUGGGGAAAAUUAUGAGAACUUAUUGGAAUGUACAGAUAUUGGUGACCCUUUAUCUUCAUAAUCAAGUGCGUAAAAUUCAGCUUUGACCUGUUUUCAACCUCCUGCCUCAUUUAGUUGGCAAAUUGUUCGUAUCAUAUGAUACCGCAAGCAUAUGCUACUUAGUAAAUUACAGAGAAAUGUGCAUCUAUGAGCUUUUUUGGUCUCAUUCCUACAGUUUUCCGUAUUUCAAAUGACAAUGUUUUAACCAUUCUUGCUGUAUUUUAACAUGUUAUAUCAUUUCUGAGGUUAGGUUGAUCUGCUGAAGAACAAGUUUGGGUUUGACAAAGCUUUCAAUUAUAAAGAAGAGCCUGAUUUGGAUGCAGCUUUAAAAAGGUCAGUAUUUAUAUGUUGAUCAGAAUCAAACUAUUAUUUUAAAGCUUUUACAUGUGUCUUUAAUUACGAGGGGAAAGUCCAAUAAAGGCAUUAGCAAUCUCUAAAGUCAUGCUUUAGUGAUUUUAGUCCCCAAUUUCCUAAAACAGAGAAAAAGUAAGUUGAAAUGUGACGGUGGGAGCAUGUGGCUGUUGAAGAGAUACUCACGUCUUUGUCCUCUUUGUAGAUAUAUUCCAUGGUUUUCGGUGUUUGCUUAUGGUCUAAAUAUGUGAUUUGCUUACCAGAUACUUUCCUGAAGGCAUCGACAUAUACUUUUGAAAACGUUGGGGGAAAAAAUGCUUGAUGCAGUGCUACAAAACAUGAGGCUCCAUGGCCGGAUUGCAGUUUGUGGGAUGGUCUCGCAGUAUAACCUUGACCAGCCUGAAGGUUGUCACAAUUUAAUGUAUCUGAUCAUUAAACAGAUUCGCAUGCAAGGUUUCGGGGUUUCUAGUUACUACCACCUUUACGGAAGUUUCUUGAAAUGGUUCUGCCGGCCAUAAAAGAAGGGAAGAUAACUUAUGUGGAAGAUGUAGUGGAAGGCCUUGAGAGCGCUCCAGCUGCUCUGAUAGGGCUCUUUGCCGGCCGCAAUGUGGGAAAGCAGGUGGUGGUAGUUUCCCGAGAAUGAUUUCAUUAGGCUCUCCAUGGCUCCGAAGUCUCAACCUUUAGCUAUAUGGUAUAGGGUAUAAUCGUCUACUAUGAAAUGCAAAUGCUUUCUUAUGCAUUUACAAGUUUAUCUCUCUACAGGUUUGUGGCAAGCUUAUUAUCCCGACGAGGACUGUGCUUGAUCCCUCAUCUUAAUUCUAAAUAAAUGUCUUGAUUUGCUUAAUAAUAUCAAGCACUAAGUCUAGUAGAUCUUUCAAUUAUGUUUUCUUUUUUUUCCAACCUGACCCGCUUUGUCAACUGGUUGACGUGGUGUUUAUGGUGAAUAAACCAAACACAGCGUUAAGCUAAAAGAUAACGCGAACACAAUCUGUUAAAGUGGUCCACCUUUUAUCAACAUGACAUGUUAAUGCUCAAUCAAAAUUCAAAUUUUUGCCCGUGUUUGUGCUGUGUCAUAGGAAGUAAUACUAGGUAAACCAAAUUUGCAAACUAAAUAAUGUGUCAUCAAUAAGAAAUAACAUCAUUUUUAAUAAACAAUAGGAUAUAUGGAAAAACUUUUUUAACGUGUGCUGUCUUUUGUUUUUUAAGAAGAAAAAACAAGAAGGAAACCGUGUCUGGUUAAAAGAUGGACGAUCAGCAUUGGAAUCCAAAACUUAUUGGUGAUAGAACUUAUUAAUUCCUAACUGAAAAAAAAUGGAGUGUCGAUUUCUCUUUCGAAUUGGACUUCUAUUAAAUGAGACGAAACUAAUUAAGAGAGAAAAUGAAGAAGCUAAUAAAGAAGCUUUGAAUUGCUUUUGGAAUUGCUUUUCAAAUUGCCUGCCAUUUCAUUCACAACUUCACGUAUUUAUAUAUUUCUAUAAUCUAAUAGUAGCUUUCUUAAAAUAAUAAUUAGGUUAUACCAUAAACAUUGAGGGAUGUGAUAUCCACACACCCAUUUUUAUUUCUUCCAUAUUUUUUUGGUUUUUAACCGUCUGAUCGGAUGAAUUGAAUAAGAUCAACAGACAAAAAUUAACAAAAAGCCUAUAAAAAGUAAAAAUAAGUGUGUGGAUAGCACACUCCAACAUUGAAUUGUUAGAAAGCUUGACUAAUACAAACCUUCCACUAUAUGUGGUGUUUCAAACGUAUUAGUUUAAAACCACCAAUAAAUAAAGAAUAGUAUUUGUAAUUAUCAUCGGUGUUUGUAAUCAACUAUUAUAAUUUAAUAUUGCCAAAGUACCUGUGGGCUCAUGAAUCAAUUAUUAUGGUUUAAUAUUUCCAAGGAUCCUCAUGAAUCAUUGUUUUUUUCCAUCUGACCGGAACACAAAUAGUAUACCAUGUGUUUUUAUACAAGUGGUAGAAAAUUGUAUUUUUUAAGUUAUUAACUUUUUAACACACAUAUCUCACAAUUUGUAUAAUGACACGUGGUACACCACCUCUUGUUCCCGUCACACUGGAAUUUCCCAUUUAAGAACCUUAAGCUCCUGCUCAAUUUAGGAAAGGGAUCAUCUAUGGUUCCCUUUCCACCAAAUCCAUCUAGUUUGAGAUCUGAGUUGUUGGAUUUGAUCCAACGGCUACAAACAGGAGAACCUUUUAAAAGUUAUAAUAAUCCAACGACCCAGAUCCCGAACUAGGUGAAUUUGGUAGAAAAAGAUCUGAAGAUGAUCCCUUUCCUUCAAGUUAAUUCAUGAAAUGAGGAAAUUCUAUUUCUGCCUUGUCUCGUCCAUACCACUUUCAUUUGUCUUGAACAAUAAAAAUACAUGACGUAUAAAAAAUAAGGUCCAUACAAAUUGGAUCAAACUACAAGGCAAAACAAGAUGUAAUCCAGCCUAUCAAAAAUGAGGAUGGGCUUUACGUACAUCCAUAAAUAAAAUAAAAUAAAAGAUGCAUUUCCCUACAAAAGAGGGAAGAAACAUACAAAAUCAGCGGCUCCCCCAUUUUCUACAACAAAAAGAAAAGUGGAGUCAGUUUAAGAGAAAGUGGCGAAAAGAAAGGCCUCUAUCCUCCCCCACGUAAGAACUCUGGAAACCACAGCAAAAAAAGGAGGACGAAAAAAAGAGGGAGACGCCGCAGAAAUUGAAGCACACGGGGGACAGAAAAAAGGAAGGGGAGACGCUGCAGAAAAGAGGGAGAUCGACAAAAAAAAAAGGACGAUAGAGAAGAGCACAAAGGAACAAAAAAAGGAAGAAGAGCAGGACACGGAGAAGACAGCAGAGAAGUACGGACAACAAAGAAGAACAACGCAAGAAAGCAAGGGAGAAACAUAAGGAAAAAGAAACAAAAAAAAAGAAACAGCCAAGAGCAGGAAGGUAUAAAUUUAUUUUAAAUUUGUUCUUUGUUGUUUUGUUUCCUCUCGACUUUUGCAGGAGAGAAAGAAGAAAUUUGCUUUCUUCUUCAUCUUUCACCAAAAGGGGAGAAUAAGGCUUGCUAUCGACUUCCUUUGAAAAGGCCAUCUCGUGAAAGACAAAAGGGGAAGGCCAUGGGAUCCUAACCUUUCUCAAAAUUUAUUGGGCAAGGCAUUACAAAAGAAGGAAAUGUUGCUGCCGCUUCAUCCUUCGAAAAAUAUUCCAGGAAAAAGAAGAUAGUUUUAUUCAUCAUGUAAAGUGUUGCAGCAAGCUACUAGGUGGAAAAGUCAAAAGAAAAAAGAUGUUUUCCUACUAUUAGAAAAGUCCUAACAAAGGUACACCUACAAUAAAGAGGCUAUUGGCUCUACAAAGAAACAAGACAAAAAUAUGGGCAAGUGUGUUGGGAGGAAAUCAAAGCUCCCUAACCCUUUCACGUGAUGAAGAGCAAAACAAGUUGGGAAUCCAUGCAGGUGGUUCUCUAGAAAAAGGGACAAGUUUGCUACAGAACAAAAAUUUGCCAAAGAACAAUUGAUAUAGGAUUUGAACCCCACCAAAGGAAAGUUGCGGCAAAGAGAAGAAAAAAUAAAAAGAAGGGUGGAUAAAGCUUCCUGAAAAUCACGAACCCACGUGGGAAGUUGUGAAAACUUAAAAGCAUGAAAAAAAAGUAAGCUGUUUUUGUGAAGGUUUGAAAAUUCAAAGUAGGUUCAAAAGAAAAGUAUGCAUCUCACGUGGGGAAGAAGUGUGGUUAUUGAAAUGGGAAGUCAAAUUAUUGAAAUUGGAAGACAAGUCCUAUUGGAACUUGGAAAGCUCCGAAGCCACAUCAAAAUUCAAAUGGCAUGAAGCCACCAAAUCCAAACAAAGUAACAAAUUUUUAACGAACUACGCCGGUUUGAUUCUGUUAAAGAUACGUAGGCAGUCUAAUAUCAAGUUUUAGACGCAACCGUGAAACCGAAACAAAUCUCUGGUUUAUAUAUACUAAAUUCACUCCUACCAUCAAAUACCAAAAUGGCACGAAGCCGAAGAAAAGUUUCAAAGGGCACGAAGCCGUAUCAAAGUCUCAAAUGGCAUGAAGCCAUAUCAAAUUUUCAAAUGCUCCUCGCCCGCAUGAGUUGAAAUUGCAUAAGGCACUAUGCUCCUCGCCCGCACGAGCUAAAACUGCACAAGGCAUCAAAACGCUCCAAUGGCUUAAAGUUCUCGCCCGUACGAGCUGAAACUGCACGAGGCAUCAAGACCCAAACACCAUGAACUACGAGUGACUUGAUCUCUCAAGAGGGUACGUAGGCAAUCUAGGGUUCGACCUAGGUGCAGUCACAAAAUCAAACAAACAUCAAAAUCCUCAAGUUACAUUUUAUUCGAAAUAAAAUCAAAGGGCAUUUCUUUCCCAAAAGAAGGGUUGUAAUUAAUAGGCGCAUAGCCUAGAAUGGGUUGAACUCAAAUUCAUAAAACCCUCUUCGAAAAAAUGAACGAAGGUGAAAUUGUGUCGAGUGAAUUAUUUGUUUACAUAUUAUGUACAAUUUUUGCUCAACAUAAUUUUGAGAACAAGAAGUAUGGAGACCAUGUCCUCAAAAGCCUGUCCUUCAUAAGAUCACCAAAGAAUUUGACACGUUACUGCUGCUCCAUUCUUUGAAGACAUUCUAGAAAAAAGAGGAACAAAGAAAUAGUUUUGUUCAUCACGUGGGAAUCUGCUCAUAUAAAGGAAAAGUAAGGUCGAUUGAAAUUAGAAGUCCCAUUGGAAUUGGAGACCUUUAAAGUUAAAUAAAGAAGUGUAAAGCUUGAUGUCAGAUUGGUCGUAAGUUUAGGUCUGAUGGGUUCGAAAUCACAUGUUUAAAUAGGUUUGAAAAGUUCAAAGAAGAAUAUAAAACGAGAGAGGGGAAAUGCUAACUGAAAUCAGCAACUCAUAUGGAAAAUUGCCCACGUGAAGAAGAAGAGGAAAGCUUUAAAGUCACACCAAAAAAAAGAGAAGGAUGCUUCCAUCAAAAAAAUAAACAACAAAGAACCCCGUCGCAGCCGUCGAGUGAAGAAAAAAAGGAAAAAAGGUUGUUGACGAUGAGAGGAAAGGGUGGCAAAGUUACAUUCGAACAAGUUUAAUUCACAAAAAAGGGGAGAAUAAGGCUUGCUAUCGACUUCCUUUGAGAAGACAUUCUCGUGAAAGACAAAAGGGGAAGGCCAUGGGAUCCUAACCUUUCUCAAAAUUUAUUGGGCAAGGCAUUACAAAAGAAGGAAAUGUUGCUGCCGCUUCAUCCUUCGAAAAAUGUUCCAGGAAAAAGAAGAUAGUUUUAUUCAUCAUGUAAAGUGUUGCAGCAAGCUUCUAGGUGGAAAAGGAAAAGUCAAAAGAAAAAAAGAUGAUUAGAAAAGUCCUAACAAAGGUACACCUACAAUAAAGAGGCUAUUGGCUCUACAAAAAAACAAGACAAAAAUAUGGGCAAGUGUGCUGGGAGGAAAUCAAAGCUCCCUAACCCUUUCACGUGAUGAAGAGCAAAACAAGUUGGGAAUCCAUGCAGGUGGUUCUCUAGAAAAAGGGACAAGUUUGCUACAGAACAAAAAUUUGCCAAAGAACAAUUGAUAUAGGAUUUGAACCCCCCCACCAAAGGAAAGUUGCGGCAAAGAGAAGAAAAAAUAAAAAGAAGGGUGGAUAAAGCUUCUUGAAAAUCACGAACCCACGUGGGAAGUUGUGAAAACUUAAAGGGAACUUUAACGAAAAGCUCCCGGUACUGUUCACUUUAAUGAAAAACCACAUUUUUACACUAAAAAGUCAAUCCUGGUACUAUACACUUUACCCUUUAUUUUGUCCUUAUCAUUAAAACUCAAAGUUUUCAAGCCCUUUUCAUUAGUUUUCCUAAACUUAAAAGCAUGAAAAAAGUAAAGCUUGUUUUGUGAAGGUUUGAAAAUUCAAAGUAGGUUCAAAAGAAAAGUAUGCAUCUCACGUGGGGAAGAAGUGUGGUUAUUGAAAUGGGAAGUCAAAUUAUUGAAAUUGGAAGACAAGUCCUAUUGGAACUUGGAAAGCUCCGAAGCCACAUCAAAAUUCAAAUGGCAUGAAGCCACACCAAAUCCAAACAAAGUAACAAAUUUUUAACGAACUACGCCGGUUUGAUUCUGUUAAAGAUACGUAGGCAGUCUAAUAUCAAGUUUUAGACGCAACCGUGAAACCGAAACGAAUCUCUGGUUUAUAUAAACUAAAUUCACUCCUACCAUCAAAUACCAAAAUAGCACGAAGCCAAAGAAAAGUUUCAAAGGGCACGAAGCCGUAUCAAAGUCUCAAAUGGCAUGAAGCCAUAUCAAAUUUUCAAAUGCUCAUCGCCCGCAUGAGCUGAAACUGCAUAAGGCACUAUGCUCCUCGCCCGCAUGAGCUAAAACUGCACAAGGCAUCAAAACGCUCCAAUGGCUUAAAGUUCUCGCCCGCACGAGCUGAAACUGCACGAGGCAUCAAGACCCAAACACCAUGAACUACGAGUGACUUGAUCCCUCAAGAGGGUACGUAGGCAAUCUAGGGUUCGACCUAGGUGCAGUCACAAAAUCAAACAAACAUCAAAAUCCUCAAGUUACAUUUUAUUCGAAUUGGAAUCAAAGGGUAUUCUUUUCCCAAAAGAAUGGUUGUAAUUAAUAGGCGCAUAGCCUAGAAUGGGUCGAACUCGAAUUCAUAAAACCCUCUUCAGAAAAAUGAACGAGGGUGAAAUUGUGUCCAGUAAAUUGUUAGUUUACAUAUUAUGUACAAUUUGUGCUCAACAAUUUGCAAGAAAGUUGUCUUUUCUUGCCAAUGCAAAAAUUUUAAUACUUCCAAUGUCUUGUUUCAUUCAUGGACCUUUUGCUCCAAGAUAAUGUCGUCUCUCAAGCAUCUUCUUGCUCCGUCCUUAAGUCAUCAACUGAAGGGAGACGAGUGUCUUCGUCAGGAUCAUCAUCCAACAGAGAUGGUUCAAAGAGCUUCAAAUUCUCGGCAUUGAUAAUUGAGUACAUAACCAUGCACUGUGGUACAUCGAGUUGGAAGACAUUAUCACCAGUUUGUUUGAUGAUUUUGAACGGUCCAUAACUGAUAGCCUUGCGUUUUUUUCCUUCUCCUUGUAACCGCUCCUUACCAAGGUGUAAUCAUAUUAUGUCGCCUUUUCUUUGAAGUUGCAUGACAAACGAUGCUUGUCAUGACGACCUUUUAUAUCGCUAUUGAGAUUGUUGCAGUCGUGCGUCCACUUCAGGAUGAAUCUUUUUAAUUCGUUCAAUCAAAAUGUGUUUAGGUGCGUUGAUGGGAAGCGGCACCAUCCUCUCUAGUUCGAGCGACUCCUCAACAAUGGAAUAUUGUGAGUGGAUCCCUUCUUAAAUUGCAUGUUUUUAUAAAUUAUUAGGCUUGCAUGCAUUGCAUAUUUUGUGUUUUAUAUUAUGUUUUACGGAUUUCCAUAUUUAUGAAUUAUUUAAAUUGUUUUUACGAAAUAUUUAUGAUUUAUCGAGUUUGCGUUUUAUUAAAGGUUAUGAAUUAUUGGAUUCUCGUAUAUGCAAUUCUAUUUUCAAAUAUGGAAUCUACGGAUUUAUGAAUAUGCGUUAUCAUGGAUUUAUGAAACAAGGCUUUGAGCUUGUGAGCUUCGGAUUUGAUAUGAGUUUUUGAGGUAUGUUUUUUGUGCUUAUCUAUCAUACAUCACAUCCACACAACAUUGGUAUGAAGACGUCUAUGGCCAUAGGACACUAUUGAGAAGAUUUAUGAUAUACCCCUAGCUUUACUGGCGAAACCAGUAUCGAACAGCUUCACUAGCCACGGCUAGUGUCGGUGUGUGAUGUUAUAUAUUUAUUCUCUGGCAUAACCUAGAGUUGUACAGCUUCACAUUUGGGUGAUGGGGCUUACCAUGUUUCUUCAUUGGCGCAACCUAGUGUUGUACAGCUUCACCUUCGGGUAAUGGACAUGUAUUGCCUUCGGGUGAUUAUGAUACCCCUAGAGAGACAUACCAAAAUAAAAAGGAUAAAAUUAUUUUAACUUAAUUAGAGAGACAGACCAUUAGUUCACUCCAAAACAUCAAUAUUAUCUUAACUUAAUCAUCAAUUUCUAAGUAUUAAAUUUCAGGAUAAUAUGGGACUAAAUGUCAUUGACAAUAAACUUUAUUAGAAGUCGAACCGUAGACUUAUGGGACUAUAUUCUAUUUUCUUAAUAUGGGACUACAUUCAACACCAAUUCCCAUUCCAUAUCGCUCAUACCGCUCUCCUCGGCUCCGCCCGCCUAUACAGAGAGAGGGAGAGAGAGAGACAGCUGGUAAAAAGAGAUAAGGAAGAGAAAUAAGCAGCAAUCCAUCAAUGGCGGCGAGUACAGAGGAAGUGAUCAGCAACAAGCAGGUGCUACUGAAAGACUAUGUGACCGGCUUCCCCAAAGAAUCUGACAUGCAACUCACCGCCGCCACCACCAAGCUCAAGCUUCCAGAAGGUUCAAAAGGGGUUCUGGUGAAGAACCUCUACUUGUCCUGCGACCCUUAUAUUAGAAACCGCAUGACCAAGCGUGAACCUGGCCCCAGUUUUACGGAUUCCUUCAAACCCGGUUCGGUCAGUCACCAUAUGUGCCCUUUCCCUUUUGUUCAAGUUUGAAAGUUCGCUUCCUUAUGAUCUAUCAUGUAAUAUUAGUAUUGAAUAAUGUGACCGAGUAGCCCAAGUACUAAUCUUGUUGGACAGAUAGCCUCGUUUUUCGGAUUACAAUUUGUUGAUGUUUGGGAUGAUUUAAUGAUUUACAGUUUGAGACAACUUAGGUAUUCGAUGUUGUACUAUCUCUUUAUUUACCGUUAGAUAUUGAAAUUUGAAAUGAUGUGGCAGCCUAUAGUCGGAUAUGGAGUUGCCAAAGUUUUGGAAUCCGGAGAUCCCAAGUUUAAGCAAGGCGACUUCAUUUGGGGAAUAACCGGGUGGGAAGAGUACAGUGUUAUCACUGCAACAGAGUCUUUGUUUAAGAUUCAGCACACUGAUGUGCCUCUCUCUUACUAUACUGGAAUUCUUGGUAUGCUACUAUAUAUUAGCUAUUGCUAUUUCCCUCGCGUUCGGAUUUAUUUCAUUUAAAAAUUUGUUCUGCCACAAGGAUCUAGCCUAUCUCAACUCUUGUAUCUAUUAUGAUGGUACCCGUUGAAUGAAAUUUGCGAAUCAUUUUUGUGGGACAUGGAUUGUAUUGAAUUCAUGUUGCAUGUUUGAGUACCGUAAUUUACCAUUGGACUAUUCUCGUGCUGAAUUCAGGAGUGAAUUGAUUGUGUCGUAAUAAUCUUCUUCUUAAAAAAAGUAGCAUUCCCUUACGGAAGGAUUCUGUAUGGUUGUAUCUCUAGUUGUAUUCUGCCUCCAGUGACCUCUAUCAUACUACAAAUGUGAACUGAUUUGUUGAUUCUCACGGCUCUUUGUAAACUAUAUCUUCACAAACCGAUGCAACAUAUUCCUUUUCAUAAUAGCAUUUUGAUUUGGAAGUACGGAAAUGAUUUAGCUUACAUAAUCAAUUGGUCCUAUGCAUCUGUAGCAUUGUUCUUUGAUUGUAUGCAAUUGCUGAAGUGAUCCAUCCUUAAUAAUUCAACCAAAUAUUUAGUUUUAUGGGUUUGUAAUGCAUGAUAUAUUUACUUGAUGCUACGCUCAUCUAAUGUAUUCAUUUUAUAUAGGUAUGCCUGGAAUGACUGCUUAUGCUGGUUUUUAUGAGGUCUGCAAUCCUAAGAAGGGAGAGACGGUCUUCAUUUCAGCAGCAUCUGGGGCGGUAGGUCAGCUUGUUGGCCAAUUUGCAAAGUCGUUGGGUUGCUAUGUUGUUGGAAGUGCUGGAAGCAAAGAAAAGGUCAGUUAUUGCAAAUUUAGUGGUCGAUGUCAACUAUAUCUUCUGUGAUUGUGACUCAAUCGGAUGAUUAUUCUUGGUUUAGAAAUAUGUAUUAAGUGAUGUAUGCCAAAUUGGCAACAGUGAAAUUUUGACUAAUAGAAAAGGGGAAAAUUACGAGAACUUAUUGGAAUGUACAGAUAUUGGUGACCCUUUAUCUUCAUAACCAAGUGCGUAAAAUUCAGCUUUGACCUGUUUUCAACCUCCUGCCUCAUUUAGUUGGCAAAUUGUUCGUAUCAUAUGAUACCGCAAGCAUAUGCUACUUAGUAAAUUACAGAGAAAUGCGCAUCUAUGAGCUUUUUUGGUCUCAUUCCUACAGUUUUCCGUAUUUCAAAUGACAAUGUUUUAACCAUUCUUGCUGUAUUUUAACAUGUUAUAUCAUUUCUGAGGUUAGGUUGAUCUGCUGAAGAACAAGUUUGGGUUUGACAAAGCUUUCAAUUAUAAAGAAGAGCCUGAUUUGGAUGCAGCUUUAAAAAGGUCAGUAUUUAUAUGUUGAUCAGAAUCAAACUAUUAUUUUAAAGCUUUUACAUGUGUCUUAAUUACGAGGGGAAAGUCCAAUAAAGGCAUUAGCAAUCUCUAAAGUCAUGCUUUAGUGAUUUAGUCCCCAAUUCCUAAAACAGAGAAAAAGUAAGUUGAAAUGUGACGGUGGGAGCAUGUGGCUGUUGAAGAGAUACUCACGUCUUUGUCCUCUUUGUAGAUAUAUUCCAUGGUUUUCGGUGUUUGCUUAUGGUCUAAAUAUGUGAUUUGCUUACCAGAUACUUUCCUGAAGGCAUCGACAUAUACUUUGAAAACGUUGGGGGAAAAAUGCUUGAUGCAGUGCUACAAAACAUGAGGCUCCAUGGCCGGAUUGCAGUUUGUGGGAUGGUCUCGCAGUAUAACCUUGACCAGCCUGAAGGUUGUCACAAUUUAAUGUAUCUGAUCAUUAAACAGAUUCGCAUGCAAGGUUUCUGGGUUUCUAGUUACUACCACCUUUACGGAAAGUUUCUUGAAAUGGUUCUGCCGGCCAUAAAAGAAGGGAAGAUAACUUAUGUGGAAGAUGUAGUGGAAGGCCUUGAGAGCGCUCCAGCUGCUCUGAUAGGGCUCUUUGCCGGCCGCAAUGUGGGAAAGCAGGUGGUGGUAGUUUCCCGAGAAUGAUUUCAUUAGGCUCUCCAUGGCUCCGAAGUCUCAACCUUUAGCUAUAUGGUAUAGGGUAUAAUCGUCUACUAUGAAAUGCAAAUGCUUUCUUAUACAUUUACAAGUUUAUCUCUCUACAGGUUUGUGGCAAGCUUAUUAUCCCGAUGAGGACUGUGCUUGAUCCCUCACCUUAAUUUUAAAUAAAUGUCUUGAUUUGCUUAAUGAUAUCAAGCACCAAGUCUAGUAGAUCUUUCAAUUACGUUUUCUUUUUUUUCCAACCUGACCCGCUUUGUCAACUGGUUGACGUGGUAUUUAUGGUGAAUAAACCAAACACAGCGUUAAGCUAAAAGAUAACGCGAACACAAUCUGUUAAAGUGGUCCACCUUUUAUCAACAUGACAUGUUAAUGCUCAAUCAAGAAAUUCAAAUUUUAUGUCACCAAUAAGAAAUUAAAUAAUAUGUCACCAAUAAGAAAUAAUCUCCUUUUUAAUAAACAAUAGGAUAUGGAAAAACUUUUUUAACAUGUGCUGUCUUUUGUUUUUUAAGAAGAAAAAACAAGAAGGAAACCGUGUCUGGUUAAAAGAUGGACGAUUAGCACUGGAAUCCAAAACUUAUUAGUGAUAGAACUUAUUAAUUCCUAACUUUAAAAAAAUGGAGUGUCGGUUUCUCUUUCGAAUUGGCCUUCCAUUAAAUGAGACGAAACUAAUUAAGAAAGAAAAUGAAGAAGCUAAUAAAGAAGCUUUGAAUUGCUUUUCAAAUUGCCUACCAUUUCAUUCACAACUUCACGUAUUUAUAUAUUUCUAUAAUCUAAUAUUAGCUUUCUUAAAAUAAUAAUUAGGUUUUAUACCAUAAACAUUGAGGGGUGUGAUUUAUUUCUCCCACAUUUUUUUGAUUUUUGACCUUCGGAUCGGAUGAAUUGAAUAAGAUCAACGAACAGAAAUUAACAAAGAAUGUGUAAGAAGUAAAAAAGGGUGUGUGGAUAACACACCCCAACAUUGAAUGGUUAAAAAGCUUGACUAAUACAAACCUUCACUAUAUGUGGUGUUUCAAACGUAUUAGUUUAAAACCACCAAUAAAUAAAGAAUAGUAUUUGUAAUUAUCAUCAGUGUUUGUAAUCAACUAUUAUAAUUUAAUAUUGCCAAAGUAACUGUGGGCUCAUGAAUCAAUUAUUAUAGUUUAAUAUUUCCAAGGAUCCUCAUGAAUCAUUGCUCCCCCAUUUAAGGAAAUUUUUUUCCAUCUGAUCAGAACACGAAUGGUAUACCAUGUGUUUUUAUACAAGUGGUAAAAAAUUGUAUUUUUUAAGUUAUUAACUUUUUAACACACAUAUCCUACCAUUUGUAUAAUGACACGUGGUGCACCACCUCUUGUUCCCGUCACACUGAAAAAUCUCUCCCAUUUAAGAACCUUAAGCUCCUGCUCAAUUUAGGAAAGGGAUCAUCUCUGGAUCCCUUUCCACCAAAUCCAUCUAGUCUGGGAUCUGAGCUGUUGGAUUUUGAUCAAACGGUUACAAACAGGAGAACCCUUUAAAAGUUAUAAUAAUCCAACGACCCAGAUUCCGAACUAGGUGAAUUUGGUAGAAAAAGAUCCGGAGAGGAUCCCUUUCCUUUAAGUUAAAUCAUGAAAUGAGGAAAUUCUAUUUCUGCCUUGUCUCGUUCAUACCACUUUGAUUUGCUAGAAAGUUGUAUUUUCUUGCCAAUGCAAAAAAUUUCAUACUUCCAAUGUCUUGUUUCAUGGACCUUUUGCUCCAAGAUAAUGUCGUCUCUAAAGCAUCUUCUUGCUCCAUCCUUAAGUCAUCAACUGAAGGGAGACGAGUGUCUUCGUCAGGAUCAUCAUCCAACAUAGAUGGUUCAAAGAGCUUCAAAUUCUCGGCAUUGAUAAUUGAGUACAUAACCAUGCAUUGUGGUACAUCGAGUUGGAAGACAUUAUCACCAGUUUGUUUAAGGAUUUUGAACGGUUCGUAACUGAUAGCCUCGCGUUUUUUUCCUUCUCCUUGUAAUUGUAAUCAUAUUACGUCGCCUUUUCUUUGAAGUUGCAUGACAAACGAUGCUUGUCAUGACGACCUUUUAUAUCGCUAUUGAGAUUGUUGCAGUCGUGCUUCCACUUCGGGAUGAAUCUUUUUAAUUCGUUCAAUCAAAAUGUGUUUAGGUGCGUUGAUGGGAAGCGGCACCAUCCUCUCUAGUUCAAGCGACUCCUCAACAAUGGAAUAUUGUGAGUGGACCCCUUCUUAAAUUGCAUGUUUUUAUAAAUUAUUAGGCUUGCAUGCAUUGCAUAUUUUGUGUUUUAUAUUAUGUUUUACGGAUUUCUAUAUUUAUGAAUUAUUUAAAUUGUUUUUACGAAAUAUUUAUGAUUUAUUGAGUUUGCGUUUUAUUAAAGGUUAUGAAUUAUUGGAUUCUCGUAUAUGCAAUUCUAUUUUCAAAUAUGGAAUCUACGGAUUUAUGAAUAUGCGUUAUCAUGGAUUUAUGAAACGAGGCCUUGAGAGCUUGUGAGCUCCGGAUUUAAUAUGAGUUUUUGAGGUAUGUUUUUGGUGCUUAUCUAUCAUACAUCACAUCCACACAACAUUGGUAUGAAGACGUCUAUGGCCAUAGGACACUGUUGAGGAGAUUUAUGAUAUACCCCUAGCUUCACCGGCGACCAGUAUCGAACAGCUUCACUAGCCACGGCUAAUGUCGGUGUGUGAUGUUAUAUAUUUAUUCUCUGGCAUAACCUAGAGUUGUACAACUUCACAUUCGGGUGAUGGGGCUUACCAUGUUUCUUCAUUGGCGUAACCUAGUGUUGUACAGCUUCACCUUCGGGUGAUGGACAUGUAUUGCCUUCGAGUGACUAUGAUAGCCCUAGAGAGAGUACAUAAUUGAUGAGAUUUACGGAUUUGCCUUUAGGCGAAGAUAUUACCAUUGUUUGAUUUACGAGAUUCAUGGAUUUGUCUUCAGGCGGCUAUAUUAGCACGGAUUCACAUACACAUGUUUUACAAAUGAUUUUCAUGGUAUGCUAGAGUUUUCAAAAAACCUACUAUAUAGUAUUAUUUAUGUGUUCAAAACAGGGAGUUAGUAUAUUCGGAAAGAAAAUGGUUUUCUUAUUAUUAGUAUUAUUAUUAUAAACUUUAGUCCACUCACCUUUUGUUUUGCGCCCCCUUAGGAGUUAGAAUCGAGGCACACGAUCCCGGUAUCAGGGCACUUCUGCUUAGGAAUCUCGAGCCUUUUCUGUGUAGGACCUAUUCCUCGGUUCGUACUUUUCCAUAAUAAUUCAUUCACAUUAUUCUUAAUUAGUUGUAUGCUCUGAACAUAGUUUUGCAUUAGAAUAUUCUUUCUAACCACAUAUUUUAAUUUGCAUGCAUGUUAAAAUGGUUUCGUCACUCUCGAGUGUCGAUCAACACGUGCCUAUCUGGGUAUCUGGGGAUAUUGGGUCGGGGCGUGUCAUGGAAAUCCAAUGGCCAAAAAUAUUGUCGUUGGAAAUCCAACGAUCCAUAUAAAGCCAUGCCCCACCACCCCCUAGAUCAGCUGAGUGCGCCUGUGGUGAGGCCCCAACUCUGUUUUUCUGUCAGCUCCCUGACUGAAGAAAAAAAAUAUAUCCAUGUGACUGAUGCCAUGCUGACGUCAAAUUCACCUAGUCAGUGGGCUAAUCAGUUCGAGCACGUGUGGUCUGUCAGGCACUCAGGCUCCCCCAAAGCUCAGUGGAUUGAAUACUGUUAACGCUCAAAAUUUGCUAGUCAAACCAAGACAAAAUUUGCAAACGAAAUAAUGUAUUACUAAUAUGAAUAUUAAUGUUUAAGUAAUAAAUCAAUUAUCAAUUUUUCAUAACCUUUGGUUUUUGAAAUUUUAUCUACACAUUUAGUCUCCCGGCCUUACUUUGGCGUGGACAUGCUGUAACCAGAGCACAUCGAGUCGCCCAAGCGGACAUGGACACACGUGUCACGCAUACCAACCGGCCAAAGCCGUUCACAUCGCUGAUUGCUCACAUUGCAUUUACACAUUCGGCGAUCGGCUCUGUUUGUAAGAAGCGAAGCAAAUUCAGUAGAAAAAGAAUAAAAAAUGGAAGUGACGAGCAACAAGCAGCUGAUACUCAGAGACUAUGUCACUGGCUUCCCCAAAGAAUCCGAUAUGCAAUUAGUCACCGCCGCAGCCACCAAGCUGAAGCUUCCAGAAGGUUCCACUGGGGUUUUGGUGAAGAACCUCUACUUGUCCUGCGACCCUUAUAUGAGAGACCGCAUGACCAAGCGCGAACCCGGCGGCAGUUAUGUCCCCUCCUUCGUGCCCGGUUCGGUCAGUUCUUCAUCCAUCUCUGAUCUCCCUAACUUGUUUUUAUUUUUAGAAUUUUUAGCAUUAAUUUCUGUAUAUUUACAAAUGGGGCUGAAGGAUUGAGAACUUUUCUCUUCUGGGUCCUCCUCACAAUUUCACCUUGGUGUCUGAAUAUCUCUGCUUUACAAUAUACUCGGAUUAAUUCAAGCUUGCAUUUUUGUGAUGAACGUAAUGUCAUUUUUCUUGGCCAAACAAAGAAGCUUGCAUUUUUGUGCCUAUUUAGUAUUGUAGAAUUAUAUUUUGUUACUAGUAAUUAUCGCAUCGAAGAUAUUGAAAUGCUGUGGACUGGCAGCCUAUAACCGGAUACGGAGUGGCUAAAGUUUUGGAAUCGGGGGAUCCCAAUUUCAAGGAAGGCGACUUUGUUUGGGGGAUGACCGGGUGGGAAGAAUAUAGUCUCAUCACUGCCACACAGGCCCUGUUUAAGAUUCACGAUACCGAUGUCCCACUCUCUUACUAUACUGGAAUUCUAGGUAUGUUUCUAGUGCUAUUUUCACCAAAUUUUGAAGUUGAUGUCUCCGGAAAAUUGCUUCUGCGGCACAUAGCUAGCUAUCUGAAAUUUAUAAUCUCAUAUGUUUGUAUUUGACUAAUGAAACUUGAGUGUGAAUUUCGCAAGUCUUGAAUGAAAAUGGUAGAUAAAUUGGUUCGCAUAUGUCACGUAUUGUUAUAUGCUGAGUGACUUGACUCCAAUUUUCAUUCUAAAAUCAGAAGUUUAAGGACAGUGUCAAAAUCUGCAUUUUUGAUGAAUGGUCUUCUCUCAUGAAAGGAUCUCCGCAUUUCGAUUUCUAGUUGUAUCUUUUCUGCAUUGACCGAUAUGAUAUUGACAAUGAAUUGCUUUUGCUCAAUUCUGACACUCUUUAGUAGUGUAGUAAGGAACUUGAUUGCCAUCAAACUUUUUUUUUUUCCAAUUAGUCAUGCAGUAAAGCGGGAGCCUUGUGCACUGGGUACGACCAGUCAUGCAGUAACUUACCUGCCUUGAUGUGUACUAUUCUUCUUGAUAGAAUGUGAUUGAUAGAGUAAUCCAUUCUAAUCAAAUUUAAACUGUCAUGAAACAUAUUUUGGUAAUAUGUAAGCCUUAAAAUUUAUAUGCAUGAUAUGUCCUGCUUGAUGCUCAAGGCUCAUCUAAUUUAUUUGUUUGAUGUAGGUAUGCCUGGUAUAACUGCUUAUGCUGGUUUUCAUGAGGUUUGCACGCCAAAGAAAGGAGAGACAGUCUUCAUUUCUGCCGCAUCUGGAGCAGUAGGUCAGCUAGUUGGGCAAUUUGCGAAGUUGUUGGGUUGCUAUGUUGUUGGGAGUGCUGGAAGCAAAGAAAAGGUGAGUCAUUGCUAUUGGGUAAUCAAUAGGAAAUUAGGAAUUAAUACAUUAAUUGGCAAUUCAUAGCUGUGACUCAGAAUAUUCUUGUAAAGGCAUGUCUGUAUGACGAUUUUUUGUGGUUCGCAAAUUUUGGAAAAUGAAACAGAACAUCUUGUGCUGAUGUACAAAUGGUGUUGGUGACCAAUAAUUUUUUUUAUCAUCAUUGCCAUCAAAUGUGUUAAACGCGUUUACUUUUAUUCUUCAACAUGCUGGAGUCAAUUGAAGCACUUCAAUGAUAUAUAUUUGUAUGCCUUUUCUGCGAGUGAAGGUUGAUCUGCUGAGGAACAAGUUCGGGUUUGAUGAGGCUUUCAAUUAUAAAGAAGAACCUAACUUGGAUGCUGCCUUAAAAAGGUCAAUCCUAUAUAUCUGUGUAAUAUGUUUUAACUUUUGAUCAGAAUCAGAACUUUAUGAAUGGUGAUAAGGGGCAUUUUUGUUUCUAAUUUUAAUCUGCUGAAGCCAUACUGAGUUUUUCAUGUGCCAACGAUACAACCCCUUUUCUGAAAGGCUUUAACAUCAAUAACAAAACUUAAGAUCUAAUCCCCAAUCUUUCGAAAGAGAGAGAAGAUUAGAAAAUGAAAGGUUCUUGAGUAUGUGACGUUGAUUUUCCACUUCCUAUAUAUUGCUUAAACAUUGGGCUAAACAUGUACAUUGGGAAUGUGUAAUUUACGUAACAGGUACUUUCCUGAAGGCAUCGAUAUAUACUUUGAAAAUGUUGGGGGAAAGAUGCUCGAUGCAGUCCUACUAAACAUGAGGACGAAUGGCCGAAUCGCAGUUUGUGGGAUGAUCUCGCAGUACAACCUUGAGCAGAAAGAAGGCGUGCAUAAUUUAACGUCAAUGAUCUCUAAACAGCUCCGUAUGCAAGGUUUCGUGGCUUCUAGUUUCUAUCAUCUCUACGGGAAGUUUCUUGAAACUGUACUACCAUUCAUAAAAGAAGGGAAGAUAACAUA
Molecule: long non-coding RNA, 30492 nt
Filed under: Malus domestica (apple)
Lineage: Eukaryota; Viridiplantae; Streptophyta; Magnoliopsida; Rosales; Rosaceae
Description: long non-coding RNA (MDOM_LNC001269)
Source: RNAcentral